GAGACAGAGAGAGAGGUCCGAGAAGAAGGAGAACCAAAAUGGAGGCUGACAUGUUUUUAUCCAAAGUGCAGUGACCAGGGCUGACAGGUAUUCUGACAUCUUGUGACUCUGGCUCUCCCUGAGAGGCACAGUGGGAAGUCCUGCUCUGUGAGUCCAUGGAGUAGGACACACCCAGGCCUCUUCUUUUCGAGCCAGCCAUCAGUCUCCUGAUGGUGGAGAUUUGAUCUGAAGCAUUCAAAUAGGGAACGAGCGCUCAGAGGAAGCUUCAAAUUUCUUUCUACUUGAAGAAGCUGAAUUGCAGACGCUAUCUCUGUCCUGUUAAUCACCGGGUCCACAGUGAAACCAGCCAACUUCAGAGAGUGAGUGAAAAGAGAGACUCUGGUGCUGUGUGACCCCUGACUGUAACCAAGUGUCAUUCUCUCCGCGACGUUCCCUCAGAGCUUGUGCUGACAGACAGCCCUCACCUCCACGUCCACUAACUUUUCCACACGAGGGGUUCUCUGCUCCAUCUGAGCUGCACAAUUCCACCAGGCCUUUUGCUCCUAUUCAGUCAGGUGCUUUGGAGGUAAUGAAGUCUUCCGGGAAAAAUAAACAAAAGAAAUGCACCCGGUUGAUGUC
This 618-nucleotide long non-coding RNA is filed under the name Mus pahari (shrew mouse). Its description in RNAcentral is "lncRNA (MGP_PahariEiJ_G0005695.1)". The record is from RNAcentral. Lineage: Eukaryota; Metazoa; Chordata; Mammalia; Rodentia; Muridae.